GUGCCAGCAGCCGCGGUAAUACGGAGGGUGCAAACGUUGCUCGGAAUCAUUGGGCGUAAAGCGCGCGUAGGCGGCGAAGCAAGUUGGAUGUGAAAGCCCUGGGCUCAACCUAGGAUGUGCAUACAAAACUGCUUCGCUUGAAUCUCGGAGGGGGUCAGGGAAUUCCCGGUGUAGAGGUGAAAUUCGUAGAUAUCGGGAGGAACACCAGUGGCGAAGGCGCUGACCUGGACGAUGAUUGACGCUGAGGCGCGAAAGCGUGGGGAGCAAACAGGAUUAGAUACCCUGGUAGUCC
This 292-nucleotide ribosomal RNA is filed under the name uncultured bacterium. RNAcentral describes it as "partial 16S ribosomal RNA". It matches the Rfam family "Bacterial small subunit ribosomal RNA", at positions 505 to 796 of the family's 1533-position model. The record is from RNAcentral.